AUGCACGCUGGCGGCGUGCCUAAUACAUGCAAGUCGAGCGAACAGACGAGGAGCUUGCUCCUCUGACGUUAGCGGCGGACGGGUGAGUAACACGUGGAUAACCUACCUAUAAGACUGGGAUAACUUCGGGAAACCGGAGCUAAUACCGGAUAAUAUAUUGAACCGCAUGGUUCAAUAGUGAAAGACGGUUUUGCUGUCACUUAUAGAUGGAUCCGCGCCGCAUUAGCUAGUUGGUAAGGUAACGGCUUACCAAGGCAACGAUGCGUAGCCGACCUGAGAGGGUGAUCGGCCACACUGGAACUGAGACACGGUCCAGACUCCUACGGGAGGCAGCAGUAGGGAAUCUUCCGCAAUGGGCGAAAGCCUGACGGAGCGACGCCGCGUGAGUGAUGAAGGUCUUCGGAUCGUAAAACUCUGUUAUUAGGGAAGAACAAAUGUGUAAGUAACUAUGCACGUCUUGACGGUACCUAAUCAGAAAGCCACGGCUAACUACGUG
This 496-nucleotide ribosomal RNA is filed under the name uncultured bacterium. RNAcentral's name for it is "partial 16S ribosomal RNA". It matches the Rfam family "Bacterial small subunit ribosomal RNA", at positions 29 to 507 of the family's 1533-position model. The record is from RNAcentral.